UAGGGUAUAGCUCAGUGGUAGAGUGUAUGCUUAGCAUGCAUGAGGUCCUGGGCUCCACCCCCAGUCCCUUCA
RNAcentral lists this transfer RNA (72 nucleotides) under Camelus bactrianus (Bactrian camel). It matches the Rfam family "tRNA". Rfam says of the family: Transfer RNA (tRNA) molecules are approximately 80 nucleotides in length. Their secondary structure includes four short double-helical elements and three loops (D, anti-codon, and T loops). RNAcentral also lists the same sequence under 2 other names. Lineage: Eukaryota; Metazoa; Chordata; Mammalia; Artiodactyla; Camelidae. The record is from Rfam by way of RNAcentral.